GCCCAAUCACAAAACUAAUAUCUUAAUCCUCCACCAACACCGAAUACUUCUAUAAUGCUAUAGAAAAUUUUAUGUUAAAACUAGUAACAAGAAGCGAACCUUCUCUUAAAUGUGGAUGUAAAUCAGAAAGGACAGACCACUGAUAUUUAACACCCUUGAACCUAAAGUAACAACUAAUCAAGAAAACCCUACUCUAAGUAACGUUAACCUAACACAAGAACAUUUUAAGAAAGAUUAAAAGAAUAAGAAGGAACUCGGCAAAUUUUAACCUCGCCUGUUUACCAAAAACAUCGCCUCUUGGCCCCCCCCCAUAAGAGGUCCAGCCUGCCCAGUGACUCUGUUUAACGGCCGCGGUAUCCUAACCGUGCGAAGGUAGCGUAAUCACUUGUUCUUUAAAUAAGGACUAGUAUGAAUGGCAUCACGAAGGUUACACUGUCUCCUUUUUCCAAUCAGUGAAACUAAUCUCCCCGUGAAGAAGCGGGAAUUAACCUAUAAGACGAGAAGACCCUAUGGAGCUUCAAACAAUACAGCAUUUACCUUACAAAUUUAUAAAAACAAACUUUACCAGGUAAAAUGACUGUAAGUUUUUGGUUGGGGUGACCGCGGAGCAUAGUCUAACCUCCUUGUUGAAAAAAUCUUAUUUUAAGCCCAGAAUUACUUAUCUAAGCAUCAACAUUUUGACAUCCAUUGACCCAAUUAUAUUGAACAACGAACCAAGUUACCCUAGGGAUAACAGCGCAAUCCACUUUAAGAGCCCAUAUCGACAAGUGGGUUUACGACCUCGAUGUUGGAUCAGGGUUUCCAAGUGGUGCAGCCGCUACUG
RNAcentral lists this ribosomal RNA (823 nucleotides) under Ansonia muelleri (Mueller's stream toad). Its description in RNAcentral is "partial 16S ribosomal RNA". The stretch from base 230 to 823 matches the Rfam family "Eukaryotic large subunit ribosomal RNA", at positions 1889 to 2919 of the family's 3401-position model. The record is from RNAcentral. Lineage: Eukaryota; Metazoa; Chordata; Amphibia; Anura; Bufonidae.